RNAcentral lists this transfer RNA (63 nucleotides) under Batracomorphus chlorophana. RNAcentral's name for it is "tRNA-Asn". RNAcentral also lists the same sequence under 1 other name. Lineage: Eukaryota; Metazoa; Arthropoda; Insecta; Hemiptera; Cicadellidae. The record is from RNAcentral.
UUAAUUGAAGCCAAAAUUUAGAGGCAUCUUAUUGUUAAUAAGAAAAUUGUUUUUCCAAUUAAA